RNAcentral lists this ribosomal RNA (253 nucleotides) under uncultured bacterium. RNAcentral's name for it is "partial 16S ribosomal RNA". It matches the Rfam family "Bacterial small subunit ribosomal RNA", at positions 524 to 776 of the family's 1533-position model. The record is from RNAcentral.
UACGUAGGGUGCAAGCGUUAAUCGGAAUUACUGGGCGUAAAGCGCGCGUAGGCGGCUUUGCAAGACAGAUGUGAAAUCCCCGGGCUUAACCUGGGAACUGCAUUUGUGACUGCAUGGCUAGAGUGCGGCAGAGGGGGAUGGAAUUCCGCGUGUAGCAGUGAAAUGCGUAGAUAUGCGGAGGAACACCGAUGGCGAAGGCAGUCCCCUGGGCCUGCACUGACGCUCAUGCACGAAAGCGUGGGGAGCAAACAGG